CAGUCGCCGCGGGAAUACAGAGGGUGCAAGCGUUAAUCGGAAUUACUGGGCGUAAAGCGCGCGUAGGUGGUUUGUUAAGUUGGAUGUGAAAUCCCCGGGCUCAACCUGGGAACUGCAUCCAAAACUGGCAAGCUAGAGUAUGGUAGAGGGUGGUGGAAUUUCCUGUGUAGCGGUGAAAUGCGUAGAUAUAGGAAGGAACACCAGUGGCGAAGGCGACCACCUGGACUGAUACUGACACUGAGGUGCGAAAGCGUGGGGAGCAAACAGGAUUAGAUACCCGCGUAGUCCCUGUCUCUUAUAA
This 301-nucleotide ribosomal RNA is filed under the name uncultured bacterium. RNAcentral describes it as "partial 16S ribosomal RNA". It matches the Rfam family "Bacterial small subunit ribosomal RNA", at positions 509 to 809 of the family's 1533-position model. The record is from RNAcentral.